Transfer RNA from Felis catus (domestic cat), 85 nucleotides. It matches the Rfam family "tRNA". From Rfam's summary of the family: Transfer RNA (tRNA) molecules are approximately 80 nucleotides in length. Their secondary structure includes four short double-helical elements and three loops (D, anti-codon, and T loops). The record is from Rfam. NCBI's taxonomy places the organism in Eukaryota, Metazoa, Chordata, Mammalia, Carnivora, Felidae.
GCCUGGGUGGCUCAGUCGGUUGAGCGUCUGACUUCAGCUCAGGUCACGAUCUCGCGGUCCGUGAGUUCGAGCCCCACGUCGGGCU